UCUCUCUCUACAUAACCUCAAUAUGAUUGUUCCUCAGGAGAGGAUCUCUCUCUGUACAUAACCUCAAUAUGGUUGUUCCUCAGGGGGGAUCUCUCUCUGUACAUAACCUCAAUAUGGUUGUUCCUCAGGGGAGGAUCUCUCUCUGUACAUAACCUCAAUAUGGUUGUUCCUCAGGGGGGAUCUCUCUCUGUACAUAACCUCAAUAUGGUUGUUCCUCAGGGGAGGAUCUCUCUCUGUACAUAACCUCAAUAUGGUUGUUCCUCAGGAGAGGAUCUCUGUCAUUUAUUUGCGUUUUCUCCCCCACACACCCUAAAGCUGUAUGUGUGCUCUUAACAGAACCGGUUGUCAUUCUACACACAGCCUCUGUAGGGCAGCGGGAGGGUCCCGGUGACCCGGUCCACGUGAGGCAUAAUAAAUAUAUAAAUCUACUUCCUGCCGUUGCCAAACACUGGACCGUAUCAGAUAUUUUUUCCCUCCUCUCAUUGGACACUACUUCCAACCAAUACUUUAAGAAUCCCGAGGGGAGUGAACAAGUGCCUAGUUCAACUCACGCUUGGCUAUUUAUCCACACACACACACACACACACACACACACACACACACACACACACACACACACACACACACACACACACACACACACACACACACACACACACACACACACACAAAGAUCGUUUGUCACCUCGAUCCAGAAUAUAUUUUAUUGAGUCAUCGUCGAGCCGUUUGUUUCAGGUUAGUAAUACGGUGACUCUCUGUGUCGGUACAAAAAAUAAAACAUUUGUUUUUUAUCAAAAUAGUUGUUAUAAUACUAUACUAAUAUAAUAAUAAUAAUAAUAAUAAUAAUAAUACUCUAUUUCUCUUUCCCAUCAAACACUCAGUGAGCAUACGGCUCUGGUCGAAAGUAGUGUUCCUGUAUAGGGAAUAGGGCUCUGGUCUAAAGUAGUGUUACUGUAUAGGGAAUAGGGCUCUGGUCUAAAGUAGUGUUACUGUAUAGGGAAUAGGGCUCUGGUCUAAAGUAGUGUUACUGUAUAGGGAAUAGGGCUCUGGUCUAAAGUAGUGUUACUGUAUAGGGAAUAGGGCUCUGGUCUAAAGUAGUGUUACUGUAUAGGGAAUAGGGCUCUGGUCUAAAGUAGUGUUACUGUAUAGGGAAUAGGGCUCUAGUCUAAAGUAGUGUUACUGUAUAGGGAAUAGGGCUCUGGUCUAAAGUAGUGUUACUGUAUAGGGAAUAGGGCUCUGGUCUAAAGUAGUGUUACUGUAUAGAGAAUAGGGCUCUGGUCUAAAGUAGUGUUACUGUAUAGAGAAUAGGGCUCCGGUCUAAAGUAGUGUUACUGUAUAGGGAAUAGGGCUCCGGUCUAAAGUAGUGUUACUGUAUAGGGAAUAGGGCUCUGGUCUAAAGUAGUGUUACUGUAUAGGGAAUAGGGCUCUGGUCUAAAGUAGUGUUACUGUAUAGGGCUCUGGUCUAAAGUAGUGUUACUGUAUAGGGAAUAGGGCUCUGGUCUAAAGUAGUGUUACUGUAUAGGGAAUAGGGCUCUGGUCUAAAGUAGUGUUACUGUAUAGGGAAUAGGGCUCUGGUCUAAAGUAGUGUUACUGUAUAGGGAAUAGGGCUCUGGUCUAAAGUAGUGUUACUGUAUAUGGAAUAGGGCUCUGGUCUAAAGUAGUGUUACUGUAUAGGGAACAGGGCUCCGGUCUAAAGUAGUGUUACUGUAUAGAGAAUAGGGCUCCGGUCUAAAGUAGUGUUACUGUAUAGAGAAUAGGGCUCCGGUCUAAAGUAGUGUUACUGUAUAGGGAAUAGGGCUCCGGUCUAAAGUAGUGUUACUGUAUAGGGAAUAGGGCUCUGGUCUAAAGUAGUGUUACUGUAUAGGGAAUAGGGCUCUGGUCUAAAGUAGUGUUACUGUAUAGGGAAUAGGGCUCUGGUCUAAAGUAGUGUUACUGUAUAGGGAAUAGG
Molecule: long non-coding RNA, 1948 nt
Organism: Oncorhynchus keta (chum salmon)
Lineage: Eukaryota; Metazoa; Chordata; Actinopteri; Salmoniformes; Salmonidae
Exons: 3
Source: RefSeq, a predicted model, not a curated record